Molecule: ribosomal RNA, 253 nt
Filed under: uncultured bacterium
Lineage: Bacteria
Description: partial 16S ribosomal RNA
Rfam family: Bacterial small subunit ribosomal RNA
Source: RNAcentral
UACGGAGGAUGCAAGCGUUAUCCGGAAUUAUUGGGCGUAAAGCGUCCGUAGGUGGUUGAGUAAGUCAGUUGUUAAAGCGUGGAGCUUAACUCCAUAACGGCAAUUGAAACUACAUAGCUAGAGUACGUUCGGGGCAGAGGGAAUUCCUGGUGUAGCGGUGAAAUGCGUAGAGAUCAGGAAGAACACCGGUGGCGAAGGCGCUCUGCUAGGCCGUAACUGACACUGAGGGACGAAAGCUAGGGGAGCGAAUGGG